AGUGGAUGGGGAGCAACCUAUGUUGUGCGUGUGUAAAGGUAGUGCCAAGAAAAGCGAUGAUCAUGUUGAAAAUCAAUUCCCGGUACCCGAAACCGACACAGGUGGGCAAGUAGAGAAUACUAAGGGGCGCGAGGUAACUCUCUCCAAGGAACUCGGCAAAAUGACCCCGUAACUUAGGGAGAAGGGGUGCCACCGAGAGGUGGUCGCAGUGAAGAGGCCCAGGCGACUGUUUAGCAAAAACAUAGGUCUCUGCAAACUCGAAAGAGGAGGUAUAGGGGCUGACGCCUGCCCAGUGCCGGAAGGUUAAAGAAGUUGGUCAGUUUUAGGAUGAAGCUAGCGACUGAAGCCCCGGUGAACGGCGGCCGUAACUAUAACGGUCCUAAGGUAGCGAAAUUCCUUGUCGGGUAAGUUCCGACCCGCACGAAAGGCGUAACGAUCUGGGCGCUGUCUCGGAGAGAGGCUCGGCGAAAUAGGAUUGUCUGUGAAGAUACGGACUACCUGCAUUUGGACAGAAAGACCCUAUGAAGCUUUACUAUAGCUUGGAAUUGUGUUCGGGCUUCCUGUGCGCAGGAUAGGUGGGAGGCGUAGAAGGUAUUCUUGUGGGGAUACUGGAGCCAACGGUGAGAUACCACUCUCAGGAGGCUAGAAUUCUAACUUAAUUAAGGACAGUUUCAGGUGGGUAGUUUGACUGGGGCGGUCGCCUCCAAAAAGGUAACGGAGGCGUACAAAGGUUCCCUCAGACUGGUUGGAAAUCAGUCGAAGAGUGCAAAGGCAGAAGGUAGCUUGACUGCGAGAAGUACAGUUCGAGCAGGGUGGAAACACGGUCUUAGUGAUCCGACGGUGCUGUGUGGAAGGGCCGUCGCUCAACGGAUAAAAGUUACUCUAGGAUAACAGGCUGAUCUCCCCCAAGAGUUCACAUCGACGGGGAGGUUUGGCACCUCGAUGUCGGCUCAUCGCAACCUGGGGCGGAAGUACGUCCCAAGGGUUGGGCUGUUCGCCCAUUAAAGCGGUACGUGAGCUGGGCUCAGAACGUCGUGAGACAGUUCGGUCCAUAUCCGAUGUAGGCGUGAGAAUAUUGAGAGGAGCCUUCCUUAGUACGAGGGGACCGGGAAGGACGCACCGCUGGUGUACCUGUUAUGAUGCCAAUUGUAAACGCAGGGUAGCCAAGUGCGGAGAGGAUAACCGCUGAAAGCAUCUAAGUGGGAAGCCCACCUCAAGAUGAGUAUUCUGGUGUAAGGUCACGGGAAGACGACCCGUAAAUAGGCACGAGGUGGAAGUGCAGAGAUGUAUGAAGCCGAAGUGUACUAAUAGACCGUCGGCUUGACC
This 1326-nucleotide ribosomal RNA is filed under the name metagenome. RNAcentral describes it as "bacterial LSU rRNA". It matches the Rfam family "Bacterial large subunit ribosomal RNA", at positions 1561 to 2925 of the family's 2925-position model. The record is from RNAcentral.